GGGUGAGUAACACGUGAGUAACCUGCCCUAGGCUUUGGGAUAACCCCGGGAAACCGGGGCUAAUACCGGAUAUGACUGGCUGCCGCAUGGUGGUUGGUGGAAAGAUUUUUCGGCUUGGGAUGGACUCGCGGCCUAUCAGCUUGUUGGUGGGGUAAUGGCCUACCAAGGCGGCGACGGGUAGCCGGCCUGAGAGGGCGACCGGCCACACUGGGACUGAGACACGGCCCAGACUCCUACGGGAGGCAGCAGUGGGGAAUCUUGCACAAUGGGCGGAAGCCUGAUGCAGCGACGCCGCGUGAGGGAUGACGGCCUUCGGGUUGUAAACCUCUUUCAGCAGGGACGAAGCGUUUGUGACGGUACCUGCAGAAGAAGCGCCGGCCAACUACGUGCCAGCAGCCGCGGUAAGACGUAGGGCGCGAGCGUUGUCCGGAUUUAUUGGGCGUAAAGAGCUCGUAGGCGGCUUGUCGCGUCGACUGUGAAAACCCGUGGCUCAACUGCGGGCUUGCAGUCGAUACGGGCAGGCUAGAGUUCGGUAGGGGAGACUGGAAUUCCUGGUGUAGCGGUGAAAUGCGCAGAUAUCAGGAGGAACACCGGUGGCGAAGGCGGGUCUCUGGGCCGAUACUGACGCUGAGGAGCGAAAGCGUGGGGAGCGAACAGGAUUAGAUACCCUGGUAGUCCACGCUGUAAACGUUGGGCGCUAGGUGUGGGGGGCCUCUCCGGUUCUCUGUGCCGCAGCUA
RNAcentral lists this ribosomal RNA (738 nucleotides) under Salinispora arenicola. Its description in RNAcentral is "bacterial SSU rRNA". It matches the Rfam family "Bacterial small subunit ribosomal RNA", at positions 104 to 854 of the family's 1533-position model. The record is from RNAcentral. Lineage: Bacteria; Bacillati; Actinomycetota; Actinomycetes; Micromonosporales; Micromonosporaceae.